Molecule: unclassified non-coding RNA, 731 nt
Filed under: Hevea brasiliensis (rubber tree)
Lineage: Eukaryota; Viridiplantae; Streptophyta; Magnoliopsida; Malpighiales; Euphorbiaceae
Source: RNAcentral
CUGUCUCUGAUUUGUUAAGGAAAAAAAAUUUGGGCCACCCAAGCAUAGAGGACAAAACAAAGUGCCAUUCAGUUUUCUCAUUGACCUCAAUGAAUCUAUGUUGUGAUGAUCAUGCUUCUUAAAUCAAGCUACAUUAUCGACUAUCAUUUUAGCAGCUAAUUCCCUUCCUACAAUAAGGUUCGGUGACAAAAUUACCAACUAAAAUUUGCACAUUACCAACUAUAAUUUUAGUAGGUAAUUACCGACUCAAUUUUAGUAGGCAAAAAGUAACUAACUCCCUUCCUACCUUAAGGUUUGGCGAUAAAAUUAUUGAUUAUAUAUUUAGUAGAUAAUUACUGACAAAAAAAUAUUUAGUCGAUAAUUAAUAGCGACAAUCAAUUACUGACUUUAUUUCAAAGUUAGUCAGUAAUUAGUCGGUAAUUGAAAUUACCUACUAAAUAUCAUUAUAUUUAAUCGGUAAAUUCAGUAACUAUUUUUUUAAUUUCUUGUAGUGAGUACUAUUUCAUUUCAUUCCCCUCUCCAUAGAUCUUUUCUUUUUUCUUUUAUUUUCCUAUCUUUCAUUGGAUUUGCUCUAGUCAUCAUAGUUACAUACAAUGAACACUCUCUCUCAAGUCUAUACAUAACAUCCUCUCAAAGUCCAUGAUAUCAUCCCUUCAGACUUUGAUUCCGUCGUAACUGUGCUUGAUUCUCAUGCUUGGCCUAUCUCUGAUGGCUUUGAGUCCAAUGACUGG